UACAUGUGCAGAGAUCAUCAUCAC
This 24-nucleotide non-coding RNA is filed under the name Arabidopsis thaliana (thale cress). The record is from RNAcentral. Lineage: Eukaryota; Viridiplantae; Streptophyta; Magnoliopsida; Brassicales; Brassicaceae.